GUUGCCAUCUUUCAGCAUGUGUAGAAAAGAUGCUUGCAAUGCCUCCGCUGCCUGUAUUUUUUCAACUCUAAGCAACCAUUGCUCCCUCGUGGGAGUUUCCACUUGUUUCCUGAAGGCAGGUACAAGGUAUUUUGCAGCAUUGAAAAGGUGCCUUAAUAUAGACUUUUUGUAUUUUGAAAUGGGCUAAGGUGUAACAACACCUGCUCAGCACCGAAUGAUUCUCUUGUUUCUUUUAUGUGCUCAUAUAUUCU
Pelobates cultripes (western spadefoot toad) is the source of this 251-nucleotide non-coding RNA. The record is from the annotation of a GenBank genome assembly. NCBI's taxonomy places the organism in Eukaryota, Metazoa, Chordata, Amphibia, Anura, Pelobatidae.